GGAUGUAAGGGUGAUCUGGCUGUGACAUCUGUCACCCCAUUGAUCACCAGGGUUGAUUCCGCUGAUCUAGCUGGUUAGAUGGGUGUCCCCUUCCUUCGUCACCACUCCAUGGGUGUCCCUCCAGAAGCUGCAUGCUCCCUCGAAGAGGAUGGCCUUUCCCAAAUAGAGAUGGACCCGUCUUCCGUUGAGGAUAUAAGAGUAGCUGCACUCCCCUGCUAGAACCUCCAAACAAGCUCUCAAGGCCCAGACUACUAGAUCAAAUAUUAUAUAUCUUCCCUGGAAGGUGAUUCAGCAGGUGGGACAUA
Erinaceus europaeus (western European hedgehog) is the source of this 305-nucleotide unclassified non-coding RNA. Its record names the gene 7SK. It matches the Rfam family "7SK RNA". Rfam says of the family: 7SK was discovered as an abundant small nuclear RNA in the mid-70s but a possible function has only recently been suggested. Two independent studies have found that 7SK RNA binds the CDK9/cyclin T complex (known as elongation factor P-TEFb). NCBI's taxonomy places the organism in Eukaryota, Metazoa, Chordata, Mammalia, Eulipotyphla, Erinaceidae. The record is from Ensembl.